This 464-nucleotide ribosomal RNA is filed under the name uncultured bacterium. RNAcentral's name for it is "bacterial SSU rRNA". It matches the Rfam family "Bacterial small subunit ribosomal RNA", at positions 30 to 480 of the family's 1533-position model. The record is from RNAcentral.
AUUGAACGCUGGCGGCAGGCCUAACACAUGCAAGUCGAGCGGUAACAGGAAGUAGCUUGCUACUUUGCUGACGAGCGGCGGACGGGUGAGUAAUGCCUGGGAAUUUGCCCAUUCGAGGGGGAUAACAGUUGGAAACGACUGCUAAUACCGCAUACGCCCUACGGGGGAAAGGAGGGGACCUUCGGGCCUUCCGCGAAUGGAUAAGCCCAGGUGGGAUUAGCUAGUAGGUGAGGUAAUGGCUCACCUAGGCGACGAUCCCUAGCUGUUCUGAGAGGAUGAUCAGCCACACUGGGACUGAGACACGGCCCAGACUCCUACGGGGAGGCAGCAGUGGGGAAUAUUGCACAAUGGGCGCAAGCCUGAUGCAGCCAUGCCGCGUGUGUGAAGAAGGCCUUCGGGUUGUAAAGCACUUUCAGUCGUGAGGAAGGUAGUGUAGUUAAUAGCUGCAUUAUUUGACGUUAGCG